RNAcentral lists this ribosomal RNA (371 nucleotides) under uncultured bacterium. Its description in RNAcentral is "bacterial SSU rRNA". It matches the Rfam family "Bacterial small subunit ribosomal RNA", at positions 29 to 426 of the family's 1533-position model. The record is from RNAcentral.
AACGAACGCUGGCGGCAGGCUUAACACAUGCAAGUCGAACGGGUGUAGCAAUACACCAGUGGCAGACGGGUGAGUAACACGUGGGAACCUUCCUAGGGGUACGGAACAACUCAGGGAAACUUGAGCUAAUACCGUAUACGUCCGUAAGGAGAAAGAUUCAUCGCCCCUAGACGGGCCCGCGUCGGAUUAGGUAGUUGGUGGGGUAACGGCCUACCAAGCCUACGAUCCGUAGCUGAUCUGAGAGGANGAUCAGCCACACUGGGACUGAGACACGGCCCAGACUCCUACGGGAGGCAGCAGUAGGGAAUCUUGCGCAAUGGGCGAAAGCCUGACGCAGCGACGCCGCGUGAGGGAAGAAGGCUUUCGGUUGU